AUUGAACGCUGGCGGCAUGCCUUACACAUGCAAGUCGAACGGCAGCACGGGUGCUUGCACCUGGUGGCGAGUGGCGAACGGGUGAGUAAUACAUCGGAACGUACCUUAUCGUGGGGGAUAACGCAGCGAAAGUUGCGCUAAUACCGCAUACGCCCUGAGGGGGAAAGCGGGGGACCGUAAGGCCUCGCGCGAUUAGAGCGGCCGAUGUCUGAUUAGCUUGUUGGUGAGGUAAAAGCUCACCAAGGCGAUGAUCAGUUGCUGGUCUGAGAGGCCGGUCAGCCACACUGGGACUGUGCCACGGCCCAGGCUCCUACGGGAGGCAGCAGUGGGGAAUUUUGGACAAUGGGGGCAACCCUGAUCCAGUAAUGCCGCGUGAGUGAAGAAGGCCUUCGGGUUGUACAGCUCUUUUGUCAGGGAAGAUACAGCAGCUCUAACACAGUCUGCGAAUGACGGUACCUGAAGAAUAAGCACCGGCUAACUACGUGCCAGCCACCGCAGUAA
Molecule: ribosomal RNA, 501 nt
Filed under: uncultured bacterium
Lineage: Bacteria
Description: partial 16S ribosomal RNA
Rfam family: Bacterial small subunit ribosomal RNA
Source: RNAcentral